GCUUGCUUCGGCAGCACAUAUACAUAUUGGAAAGAUACAGAGAAAAUUAGCAUGACCCCUGCGCAAGGAUGACAUGCAAAUUCAUAAAGUGUUCCAUAUUUUU
Molecule: small nuclear RNA, 103 nt
Organism: Suncus etruscus (white-toothed pygmy shrew)
Lineage: Eukaryota; Metazoa; Chordata; Mammalia; Eulipotyphla; Soricidae
Source: RefSeq, a predicted model, not a curated record